Molecule: long non-coding RNA, 1189 nt
Organism: Ostrea edulis (European flat oyster)
Lineage: Eukaryota; Metazoa; Mollusca; Bivalvia; Ostreida; Ostreidae
Exons: 3
Source: RefSeq, a predicted model, not a curated record
CCAUCACGUCUGUUUAUAGCUAAGUUAACAUCAAAUUGGUGUUUUGCACAUGAUCUACUAAAACGAAUUUAAUCGGAAAGGUUCUUAUUCCAAUACAUGUAUAUACAAAAGAUUACUCAAAGUGAAAUUACGUCAAUACUUACCGACGCCAUUGUUUUCUCUGUAAUCACGUGUUUAAAAGGCGCGCGCAAUGCAUACAUUAUGCAAAUAGGUUAACCGAAGAUUUCCGAGAGUUAAAUAUUGGUCAGAAAUGAAAAACUUAUUGUGACCAAUUUCUGUCUUUCGGGAUGAAAUAAAUUACUUAACGCUACAUAAAUCGUUAUAUAACGCCAUUAUAGAUACUCUAACUAUGUUACUUUGGAAAGAAACAAAAAUUGAUUACGAGUACGUAUGUACCUUUAAUUUAUUUUAUUUCAUUACAGUCCGUGAAGCUAAAGAAUUGGCUGUAGGCGCUGCGCACCAUACUUAAAUGUAUGGGAGUGCGGUGCUCACGUACUCCAGUGAGGAGGAACCAGGGGGAUGCGGAGAGCCAUCCCAUGGAGGAGAGACAGGAGUCCCCCGUCCAGACGUUCCGCAGGUCUGGUCAAUCUGGAUACUCGGGGACGAUCCCGUCCCACCAGAUCGGCGCCCUCUCCGCCGAAGGCGGGAUUGAAGAUCACGAAGGCGGAGGUACAUGGGUAUAACACUCGUUUUAAGGUUCGCAAAUAGAUCGAGCGGGGAAUGGCAUGUAACGAUAACUAAUAAAACCGAUAACAAAACGUGAAAUGGAUCUUGAGUAGAUUCGUUAACACGUAGAGUAAAUUUAACACAUGGCGAAACCUCAGGUGAACUACGUUGUAUACAAUGGAAAGGAAUUUGCAACGUCAGGUCGGAUGAUUUGAUAUGACACGUAGGAUGGAUUUCAGUCGUAAAUGUGUUUGUUCGCUGAUAAGGUUGAGUGAUUUGAAGUGACUUUCAUAGUAUAGUCCACAUGAAAGAAUGAUCAUUACGCUUGCAGCAAAAAGUCAUAUACCUUAAUCACGGAUAUGUUCACCCCCUCAUCCAUUAGUAUUCCCCUUUUGAUCACUUGUCCCCAUUGUUUACCCCACCCUUUGAUCUAUUGUUCAUUGAUCCAUCAUUGUAUUGUCUCCUCAGAUCUCAUGUUUACCCCUCACUCUUUGAUAUAUUGUUCACCCCCAUCUGUUCCUGG